CCAAAGCAGAUACUCCCAGGGAAAUCACUCGUCAGGCUCUGUCCAGGUGGCAAAAGGGAGCAAAGGACUCUGCCUGGUGAUGUACAGUCCCAUUCCACAAUGGUGGAGGUGAAUCUGGGCCUCGAACCUGCACCUACAUAUUCCUACAGCUUCUCAGAGUCCUGCAGACAAUGACUGAGAAGACAAACCAUGUAGAAAACAGCU
Molecule: small nucleolar RNA, 204 nt
Filed under: Dasypus novemcinctus (nine-banded armadillo)
Lineage: Eukaryota; Metazoa; Chordata; Mammalia; Cingulata; Dasypodidae
Description: Small nucleolar RNA SNORA73 family (ENSDNOG00000031072.1)
Rfam family: Small nucleolar RNA SNORA73 family
About the family: U17 (SNORA73A and SNORA73B) also known as E1 belongs to the H/ACA class of small nucleolar RNAs (snoRNAs). Vertebrate U17 is intron-encoded and ranges in length from 200-230 nucleotides, longer than most snoRNAs. It is one of the most abundant snoRNAs in human cells and is essential for the cleavage of pre-rRNA within the 5' external transcribed spacer (ETS).
Source: RNAcentral